Molecule: transfer RNA, 54 nt
Filed under: Macrolycus sp. UPOL ZL2005
Lineage: Eukaryota; Metazoa; Arthropoda; Insecta; Coleoptera; Lycidae
Description: partial tRNA-Ser
Source: RNAcentral
AAAGAAAUUAAUAACGAAAAGCUUCUAACUUUUCAAAAAGCAUUAAAAGAGAAA